RNAcentral lists this ribosomal RNA (468 nucleotides) under uncultured bacterium. RNAcentral describes it as "partial 16S ribosomal RNA". It matches the Rfam family "Bacterial small subunit ribosomal RNA", at positions 355 to 835 of the family's 1533-position model. The record is from RNAcentral.
UGGGGAAUAUUGCACAAUGGGCGAAAGCCUGAUGCAGCGACGCCGCGUGCGGGAUGAAGGCCUUCGGGUUGUAAACCGCUUUUGAUUGGGAGCAAGCGAGAGUGAGUGUACCUUUCGAAUAAGCACCGGCUAACUACGUGCCAGCAGCCGCGGUAAUACGUAGGGUGCAAGCGUUAUCCGGAAUUAUUGGGCGUAAAGAGCUCGUAGGCGGUUUGUCGCGUCUGGUGUGAAAGUCCAUCGCUUAACGGUGGAUCUGCGCCGGGUACGGGCAGGCUAGAGUGCGACAGGGGAGACUGGAAUUCCCGGUGUAACGGUGGAAUGUGUAGAUAUCGGGAAGAACACCAAUGGCGAAGGCAGGUCUCUGGGUCGUCACUGACGCUGAGGAGCGAAAGCGUGGGGAGCGAACAGGAUUAGAUACCCUGGUAGUCCACGCCGUAAACGGUGGAUGCUGGAUGUGGGGCCCAUUCC